ACCGUCUCUGUCCAUGACGCCUGCUCAGUCUCCCAUGGAUCAACUCGAAUCCAGUCAGACGUCUCCAGUGCUAGUUUGGCCAUUGCUAUCCGAUGCCUUGCUGAAACCAAGCCUUUCUUUCUGUAGUCAUCACUGACAGGAGACAUUAUGCCUUCAAUCACUCGGUAUCUUCCGCUCGCGGCCGGCCGCUGCUGCUGCAGCCCCCGCGAUCCCUGCGGCGCCGUGUCCUGCGGUUGGC
This 238-nucleotide long non-coding RNA is filed under the name Gallus gallus (chicken). The record is from RNAcentral. Lineage: Eukaryota; Metazoa; Chordata; Aves; Galliformes; Phasianidae.